RNAcentral lists this ribosomal RNA (468 nucleotides) under uncultured bacterium. Its description in RNAcentral is "partial 16S ribosomal RNA". It matches the Rfam family "Bacterial small subunit ribosomal RNA", at positions 28 to 507 of the family's 1533-position model. The record is from RNAcentral.
GACGAACGCUGGCGGCGUGCUUAACACAUGCAAGUCGAACGGAAAGGCCCUGCUUUUGUGGGGUUCUCGAGUGGCGAACGGGUGUGUAACACGUGAGUAACCUGCCCUUGACUUUGGUAUAACUUCAGGAAACGGUGGCUAAUACCGGAUAGGAGCUCCUUCUUCAUGGGGGUGGUUGGAAAUUUUCGGCGGUUGGGGAUGGACGCGCGGCUUAUCAGCUUGUUGGUGGGGUAGUGGCUUACCAAGGCUUUGACGGGUAGCCGGCCUGAGAGGGUGACCGGCCACAUUGGGACUGAGAUACGGCCCAGACUCCUACGGGAGGCAGCAGUGGGGAAUAUUGCACAAUGGGCGGAAGCCUGAUGCAGCAACGCCGCGUGCGGGAUGACGGCCUUCGGGUUGUAAACCGCUUUCGCCUGUGACGAAGCGUGAGUGACGGUAAUGGGUAAAGAAGCACCGGCUAACUACGUG